Molecule: ribosomal RNA, 482 nt
Filed under: uncultured bacterium
Lineage: Bacteria
Description: partial 16S ribosomal RNA
Rfam family: Bacterial small subunit ribosomal RNA
Source: RNAcentral
AUUGAACGCUGGCGGCAUGCCUUACACAUGCAGGUCGAACGGUAACAGGUCUUCGGAUGCUGACGAGUGGCGAACGGGUGAGUAAUACAUCGGAACGUGCCCGAUCGUGGGGGAUAACGAGGCGAAAGCUUUGCUAAUACCGCAUACGAUCUACGGAUGAAAGCGGGGGAUCUUCGGACCUCGCGCGGACGGAGCGGCCGAUGGCAGAUUAGGUAGUUGGUGGGAUAAAAGCUUACCAAGCCGACGAUCUGUAGCUGGUCUGAGAGGAUGAUCAGCCACACUGGGACUGAGACACGGCCCAGACUCCUACGGGAGGCAGCAGUGGGGAAUUUUGGACAAUGGGCGAAAGCCUGAUCCAGCCAUGCCGCGUGCAGGAUGAAGGCCUUCGGGUUGUAAACUGCUUUUGUACGGAACGAAAAGCCUCUUUCUAAUAAAGAGGGGUCAUGACGGUACCGUAAGAAUAAGCACCGGCUAACUACGUG